CGGACGGGUGAGUAACGCGUGGAAAACCCUGCCGUAGUACUGGGGGAUAACACUUAGAAAUAGGUGCUAAUACCGCAUAAGCGCACAGCUUCGCAUGAAGCGGUGUGAAAAACUCUGGUGGUAUACGAUGGUUCCGCGUCUGAUUAGCUAGUUGGUGGGGUAAUGGCCUACCAAGGCAACGAUCAGUAGCCGGCCUGAGAGGGUGAACGGCCACAUUGGGACUGAGACACGGCCCAAACUCCUACGGAAGGCAGCAG
RNAcentral lists this ribosomal RNA (257 nucleotides) under uncultured bacterium. Its description in RNAcentral is "partial 16S ribosomal RNA". It matches the Rfam family "Bacterial small subunit ribosomal RNA", at positions 99 to 354 of the family's 1533-position model. The record is from RNAcentral.